GUUUUUUCAGUCCUUUUCUGUUCAGUUCUUAACCACUUGUAGUUGCCUAUUUGGUAAUGUUUAAGUUCCCAUGACCGAUCUGGCAGUGCAGUUAAAUUUAUGGGUUCUUUUAGAGCCAUGGAUUAGAUUAAUGUACGUUGUCCACAAACUCUUAACACCGACAAACUAUCCUUCAAGAGGCGCUAGGCAAGGAGGUGAGUAAUACCUAUUACCUCGUGCUCCAUCCAAAUCCCAAAAGUGUAACUCCUCUACAGCUAGCACCAACACAUGAUUGUUUUGUGCAAAUGUUUAGGUGUGUUAAAUGAUUAUGAGCAAUAGUCUGAUUUGAUGGUUGAGUUAUUUUCAGAUAUUAAGAUAGUUUACCUUUUAACGUUAUCAACACAUUGAUAUGCUACAUGAUCUCUGUCCGUGCAAUCUUUUGAUAUGUUACAGAAUGCACUAUUCCUAAUUGCUUAGUUGAAGCAUCCUGCAGAUCAAGGUAGAGGAUAUGGAUGCGUAUGCCCCUAAAGAUCUUUUGGUUGUCACUACAGGUUCACAAGGAGAGCCACGUGCAGCUUUGAAUCUUGCAUCUUAUGGGGGAAGUCACACUCUUAAACUAUCAAAAGAGGAUGUCCUUCUUUAUUCAGCUAAGGUUAUUCCUGGAAAUGAGACACGGGUAAUGAAGAUGAUGAAUCGUCUCACUGAUCUUGGCCCAAAAAUUAUCAUGGGUAAAGAUUCUGGCCUGCAUACCUCUGGGCAUGCCUACCGAGAGGAGCUGGAGGAAGUUCUUCGGAUUGUUAAACCACAACAUUUCUUGCCUGUUCAUGGAGAACUCCUAUUUCUCAAAGAACAUGAAUCACUUGGAAGAUCAACUGGCAUACGGCACACAACUGUAAUAAAAAAUGGAGAAAUGCUUGGUGUAUCGCAUCUAAGAAACAGAAGAGUUUUGUCCAAUGGGUUUGUUUCAUUAGGGAAGGAGGAUCUUUAGCAUGGAGAUCUUCCGACCUCAGAAGGAACAUGGUUUAGCGCAGACUGGUUUGAAAGGAAAAUUUAAGAUUACUACAAGAUGUCUAUGGCUUGAUAAUGGAAGAUUGUUGGACGCACUCUACAAAGCAGCUCAUGCUGCAUUGUUAAGUUGUCCUAUGAAUUGUCCACUUAGUCACAUGGAGAGGAUGGUAGCUGAAAUCUUGAGGAAAAUGGUACGGAAGUAUAGUGAGAAGAGGCCUGAUGUCAUUGCGGUUGCUAUGGAGAACACCACAGCAAGUUUCUCAGAACACCUCGAUGCUAAAUCAUCUGGAAAUUUUGAACCUUCCUCAGCUACUAGCCAUCUGAGCAGGAGUCCAGCUAUGAGUCUUGAAGGCAGUUAUAAAACACACCCAGACAACCCAGAGGUGGAUGCUGAAGAAGCCCUUCCUGAGGCCACGAGAACAGCACUGGAUGAUGCAACCACACUGUUAUGCAUCUAUCAUGCAUAAUGGAUAAUAUCCGAUGUUAUGUUUCUUUCACCAGUGGAAAUUUGCUCAUGUUACAUUCAGUAAGCCGGAAUACCUCCAAGAUUUAGAUAUUGUAAUGAACAGAUUCCAUAAACAGAGACCUGUUUAUGGAGGUUGGGAACAACACCUUGGAUUGGAGCAUACAACCACUACCCCAAAAAGGUCCUACUUAGGCAACAACCAGAACCACCAUUCUUUUGAGAAGCCUAUGAAGAUUUACAACUAAAGCUGGGAAUACUUUUUACAAGUGAUGAAUGGAUAUGAAGGCAGCCUUGUUCCAAAAGCAGUCUUUUGGUGAUGUACAUAGAGCUUUUGCAUAGAGUAGUUUAUGUGGCAGUUAUCUCAAGAAUUUUCAUCUGGUGGAUGUACAGGGUUCGUAUAGCAACAUUUCCUUGUAGAAAGUUGAAGUUGUAUAUCGAGGGUGGAUUUACCUGUGUUUAUCUUUUCGACCCUAAGCCUCUGGGAAGCUGUGAACCAUAGCCUCAUGAAAUAUGCCUGUUGUUGAUUC
This is an RNA transcript of Zea mays, 1980 nucleotides long. It is a transcript of the gene named ribonuclease J pseudogene, with no coding region annotated. The record is from RefSeq and is marked validated. The transcript has 10 exons. NCBI's taxonomy places the organism in Eukaryota, Viridiplantae, Streptophyta, Magnoliopsida, Poales, Poaceae.